AUUGAACGCUGGCGGAAUGCUUUACACAUGCAAGUCGAACGGCAGCACGGGUGCUUGCACCUGGUGGCGAGUGGCGAACGGGUGAGUAAUACAUCGGAACGUACCCAGUCGUGGGGGAUAACGUAGCGAAAGUUACGCUAAUACCGCAUACGUCCUGAGGGAGAAAGCGGGGGACCGUAAGGCCUCGCGCGGUUGGAGCGGCCGAUGGCGGAUUAGCUAGUUGGGGGGGGAAAGGCCUACCAAGGCGACGAUGCGUAGCGGGUCUGAGAGGACGGCCCGCCACACUGGAACUGAGACACGGUCCAGACUCCUACGGGAGGCAGCAGUGGGGAAUUUUGGACAAUGGGCGAAAGCCUGAUCCAGCCAUUCCGCGUGAGUGAAGAAGGCCUUCGGGUUGUAAAGCUCUUUCGGCAGGGAAGAAACGGCUUGGGAUAAUACCCCGGGCUAAUGACGGUACCUGAAGAAGAAGCACCGGCUAACUACGUGCCAGCAGCCGCCGUAA
Molecule: ribosomal RNA, 502 nt
Filed under: uncultured bacterium
Lineage: Bacteria
Description: partial 16S ribosomal RNA
Rfam family: Bacterial small subunit ribosomal RNA
Source: RNAcentral